GGUUAAGCGACUAAGCGUACACGGUGGAUGCCCUGGCAGUCAGAGGCGAUGAAGGACGUGCUAAUCUGCGAUAAGCGUCGGUAAGGUGAUAUGAACCGUUAUAACCGGCGAUUUCCGAAUGGGGAAACCCAGUGUGUUUCGACACACUAUCAUUAACUGAAUCCAUAGGUUAAUGAGGCGAACCGGGGGAACUGAAACAUCUAAGUACCCCGAGGAAAAGAAAUCAACCGAGAUUCCCCCAGUAGCGGCGAGCGAACGGGGAGCAGCCCAGAGCCUGAAUCAGUGUGUGUGUUAGUGGAAGCGUCUGGAAAGGCGCGCGAUACAGGGUGACAGCCCCGUACACAAAAAUGCACAUACUGUGAGCUCGAUGAGUAGGGCGGGACACGUGGUAUCCUGUCUGAAUAUGGGGGGACCAUCCUCCAAGGCUAAAUACUCCUGACUGACCGAUAGUGAACCAGUACCGUGAGGGAAAGGCGAAAAGAACCCCGGCGAGGGGAGUGAAAAAGAACCUGAAACCGUGUACGUACAAGCAGUGGGAGCACGCUUAGGCGUGUGACUGCGUACCUUUUGUAUAAUGGGUCAGCGACUUAUAUUCUGUAGCAAGGUUAACCGAAUAGGGGAGCCGAAGGGAAACCGAGUCUUAACUGGGCGUUAAGUUGCAGGGUAUAGACCCGAAACCCGGUGAUCUAGCCAUGGGCAGGUUGAAGGUUGGGUAACACUAACUGGAGGACCGAACCGACUAAUGUUGAAAAAUUAGCGGAUGACUUGUGGCUGGGGGUGAAAGGCCAAUCAAACCGGGAGAUAGCUGGUUCUCCCCGAAAGCUAUUUAGGUAGCGCCUCGUGAAUUCAUCUCCGGGGGUAGAGCACUGUUUCGGCAAGGGGGUCAUCCCGACUUACCAACCCGAUGCAAACUACGAAUACCGGAGAAUGUUAUCACGGGAGACACACGGCGGGUGCUAACGUCCGUCGUGAAGAGGGAAACAACCCAGACCGCCAGCUAAGGUCCCAAAGUCAUGGUUAAGUGGGAAACGAUGUGGGAAGGCCCAGACAGCCAGGAUGUUGGCUUAGAAGCAGCCAUCAUUUAAAGAAAGCGUAAUAGCUCACUGGUCGAGUCGGCCUGCGCGGAAGAUGUAACGGGGCUAAACCAUGCACCGAAGCUGCGGCAGCGACGCUGAUGCGUUGUUGGGUAGGGGAGCGUUCUGUAAGCCUGCGAAGGUGUGCUGUGAGGCAUGCUGGAGGUAUCAGAAGUGCGAAUGCUGACAUAAGUAACGAUAAAGCGGGUGAAAAGCCCGCUCGCCGGAAGACCAAGGGUUCCUGUCCAACGUUAAUCGGGGCAGGGUGAGUCGACCCCUAAGGCGAGGCCGAAAGGCGUAGUCGAUGGGAAACAGGUUAAUAUUCCUGUACUUGGUGUUACUGCGAAGGGGGGACGGAGAAGGCUAUGUUGGCCGGGCGACGGUUGUCCCGGUUUAAGCGUGUAGGCUGGUUUUCCAGGCAAAUCCGGAAAAUCAAGGCUGAGGCGUGAUGACGAGGCACUACGGUGCUGAAGCAACAAAUGCCCUGCUUCCAGGAAAAGCCUCUAAGCAUCAGGUAACAUCAAAUCGUACCCCAAACCGACACAGGUGGUCAGGUAGAGAAUACCAAGGCGCUUGAGAGAACUCGGGUGAAGGAACUAGGCAAAAUGGUGCCGUAACUUCGGGAGAAGGCACGCUGAUAUGUAGGUGAAGUCCCUCGCGGAUGGAGCUGAAAUCAGUCGAAGAUACCAGCUGGCUGCAACUGUUUAUUAAAAACACAGCACUGUGCAAACACGAAAGUGGACGUAUACGGUGUGACGCCUGCCCGGUGCCGGAAGGUUAAUUGAUGGGGUCAGCGCAAGCGAAGCUCUUGAUCGAAGCCCCGGUAAACGGCGGCCGUAACUAUAACGGUCCUAAGGUAGCGAAAUUCCUUGUCGGGUAAGUUCCGACCUGCACGAAUGGCGUAAUGAUGGCCAGGCUGUCUCCACCCGAGACUCAGUGAAAUUGAACUCGCUGUGAAGAUGCAGUGUACCCGCGGCAAGACGGAAAGACCCCGUGAACCUUUACUAUAGCUUGACACUGAACAUUGAGCCUUGAUGUGUAGGAUAGGUGGGAGGCUUUGAAGUGUGGACGCCAGUCUGCAUGGAGCCGACCUUGAAAUACCACCCUUUAAUGUUUGAUGUUCUAACGUGGACCCGUAAUCCGGGUUGCGGACAGUGUCUGGUGGGUAGUUUGACUGGGGCGGUCUCCUCCUAAAGAGUAACGGAGGAGCACGAAGGUUGGCUAAUCCUGGUCGGACAUCAGGAGGUUAGUGCAAUGGCAUAAGCCAGCUUGACUGCGAGCGUGACGGCGCGAGCAGGUGCGAAAGCAGGUCAUAGUGAUCCGGUGGUUCUGAAUGGAAGGGCCAUCGCUCAACGGAUAAAAGGUACUCCGGGGAUAACAGGCUGAUACCGCCCAAGAGUUCAUAUCGACGGCGGUGUUUGGCACCUCGAUGUCGGCUCAUCACAUCCUGGGGCUGAAGUAGGUCCCAAGGGUAUGGCUGUUCGCCAUUUAAAGUGGUACGCGAGCUGGGUUUAGAACGUCGUGAGACAGUUCGGUCCCUAUCUGCCGUGGGCGCUGGAGAACUGAGGGGGGCUGCUCCUAGUACGAGAGGACCGGAGUGGACGCAUCACUGGUGUUCGGGUUGUCAUGCCAAUGGCACUGCCCGGUAGCUAAAUGCGGAAGAGAUAAGUGCUGAAAGCAUCUAAGCACGAAACUUGCCCCGAGAUGAGUUCUCCCUGACCCUUUAAGGGUCCUGAAGGAACGUUGAAGACGACGACGUUGAUAGGCCGGGUGUGUAAGCGCAGCGAUGCGUUGAGCUAACCGGUACUAAUGAACCGUGAGGCUUAACCUU
Molecule: ribosomal RNA, 2904 nt
Filed under: Escherichia coli
Lineage: Bacteria; Pseudomonadati; Pseudomonadota; Gammaproteobacteria; Enterobacterales; Enterobacteriaceae
Description: 23S ribosomal RNA
Rfam family: Bacterial large subunit ribosomal RNA
Source: RNAcentral